CUACACAUGCAAGUCGAACGGUAACAGGAAGCAGCUUGCUGCUUCGCUGACGAGUGGCGGACGGGUGAGUAAUGUCUGGGAAACUGCCUGAUGGAGGGGGAUAACUACUGGAAACGGUAGCUAAUACCGCAUAACGUCGCAAGACCAAAGAGGGGGACCUUCGGGCCUCUUGCCAUCGGAUGUGCCCAGAUGGGAUUAGCUAGUAGGUGGGGUAACGGCUCACCUAGGCGACGAUCCCUAGCUGGUCUGAGAGGAUGACCAGCCACACUGGAACUGAGACACGGUCCAGACUCCUACGGGAGGCAGCAGUGGGGAAUAUUGCACAAUGGGCGCAAGCCUGAUGCAGCCAUGCCGCGUGUAUGAAGAAGGCCUUCGGGUUGUAAAGUACUUUCAGCGGGGAGGAAGGCGAUAAGGUUAAUAACCUUGUCGAUUGACGUUACCCGCAGAAGAAGCACCGGCUAACUCCGUGCCAGCAGCCGCGGUAAUACGGAGGGUGCAAGCGUUAAUCGGAAUUACUGGGCGUAAAGCGCACGCAGGCGGUCUGUCAAGUCGGAUGUGAAAUCCCCGGGCUCAACCUGGGAACUGCAUUCGAAACUGGCAGGCUAGAGUCUUGUAGAGGGGGGUAGAAUUCCAGGUGUAGCGGUGAAAUGCGUAGAGAUCUGGAGGAAUACCGGUGGCGAAGGCGGCCCCCUGGACAAAGACUGGCGC
This 708-nucleotide ribosomal RNA is filed under the name uncultured bacterium. Its description in RNAcentral is "bacterial SSU rRNA". It matches the Rfam family "Bacterial small subunit ribosomal RNA", at positions 49 to 746 of the family's 1533-position model. The record is from RNAcentral.